Molecule: unclassified non-coding RNA, 353 nt
Filed under: soil metagenome
Description: partial contains 5.8S ribosomal RNA, internal transcribed spacer 2, and large subunit ribosomal RNA
Rfam family: 5.8S ribosomal RNA (bases 1-120)
Source: RNAcentral
GAUGAAGAACGCAGCGAAAUGCGAAAAGUAAUGUGAAUUGCAGAAUUCAGUGAAUCAUCGAAUCUUUGAACGCACAUUGCGCCCGCCAGUAUUCUGGCGGGCAUGCCUGUUCGAGCGUCAUUACAACCCUCAGGCCCCCGGGCCUGGCGUUGGGGAUCGGCGGAAGCCCCCUGCGGGCACAACGCCGUCCCCCAAAUACAGUGGCGGUCCCGCCGCAGCUUCCAUUGCGUAGUAGCUAACACCUCGCAACUGGAGAGCGGCGCGGCCACGCCGUAAAACACCCAACUUCUGAAUGUUGACCUCGAAUCAGGUAGGAAUACCCGCUGAACUUAAGCAUAUCAAUAAGCGGAGGA